AUUAUUUAAUAAAUAAUAAGACAAUAAAAUUCGAGAGGUUACUCAAAAGCUAAGUAAUCAAAAAAAUAAAAAGGAAAUGCCCAAUUCAUAGAACUUUAAUGUAAAUUUAUUUAUAUUAUGGUUAAUUUGAAUUGAUAACCAACCUCGUUUUUAUUUUUAAAUAACCGUACCCUAAACCGACACAGGUGGAUAGGUCGAAUAGACUAAGGUGUAUGAGAUAAUUAUGUUGAAGGAACUCGGCAAAAUGACUCUGUAACUUCGGGAGAAAGAGUACCUACUUAUAUAUAUAAUAUAGAAG
Molecule: ribosomal RNA, 298 nt
Filed under: Aphanomyces cochlioides
Lineage: Eukaryota; Oomycota; Saprolegniomycetes; Saprolegniales; Verrucalvaceae
Description: partial large subunit ribosomal RNA
Rfam family: Bacterial large subunit ribosomal RNA
Source: RNAcentral